Molecule: ribosomal RNA, 497 nt
Filed under: uncultured bacterium
Lineage: Bacteria
Description: partial 16S ribosomal RNA
Rfam family: Bacterial small subunit ribosomal RNA
Source: RNAcentral
GAUGAACGCUGGCGGCGUGCCUAAUACAUGCAAGUCGAGCGAACAGACGAGGAGCUUGCUCCUCUGACGUUAGCGGCGGACGGGUGAGUAACACGUGGAUAACCUACCUAUAAGACUGGGAUAACUUCGUGAAACCGGAGCUAAUACCGGAUAACAUGUUGAACCGCAUGGUUUAACAGUGAAAGACGGUCUUGCUGUCACUUAUAGAUGGAUCCGCGCCGCAUUAGCUAGUUGGUAAGGUAACGGCUUACCAAGGCAACGAUGCGUAGCCGACCUGAGAGGGUGAUCGGCCACACUGGAACUGAGACACGGUCCAGACUCCUACGGGAGGCAGCAGUAGGGAAUCUUUCGCAAUGGGCGAAAGCCUGACGGAGCAACGCCGCGUGAGUGAAGAAGGUCUUCGGAUCGUAAAACUCUGUUAUUAGGGAAGAACAAAUGUGUAAGUAACUAUGCACGUCUUGACGGUACCUAAUCAGAAAGCCACGGCUAACUACGUG